AUGGAAGAUGACACCCGCCCCACCCUGACAGUGCUGCCCCCCUCCAUUAAGGAGCUGGAGAAUGGGAAGGCCACGCUCACAUGUCUGGCCAACAAGGGCUUCCCCUCAGACUGGAGUCUGUCCUGGAAGGUGGAUGGAAGAAGCAGCAGUGACGGGGAGGAGAGCAGGAGCCCUGGUGUGCUGCAGAAUGACGGCCUGUAUAGUUGGAGCAGCACCCUGAAGCUCUCCACAUACCAGUGGAUGAAGGUGGGCUCUGUGACCUGUGAGGCCACCCAGGGCUCCCAGACUCUGGUCUCAAAGAUACUGAGCAGAGAUCAGUGUUCACAUUUGUGA
Oreochromis aureus is the source of this 333-nucleotide non-coding RNA. Lineage: Eukaryota; Metazoa; Chordata; Actinopteri; Cichliformes; Cichlidae. The record is from the annotation of a RefSeq genome assembly.